UUGAGAGUGGUGGUGCAUGUCUGGAAUCCAGAACUCAGGAGGGGGAGGCUGGAAGAUUAGGAGUUCGAGACCAUCCUCAGCUACAAA
Molecule: microRNA precursor, 87 nt
Filed under: Microtus ochrogaster (prairie vole)
Lineage: Eukaryota; Metazoa; Chordata; Mammalia; Rodentia; Cricetidae
Description: miRNA (ENSMOCG00000009859.1)
Source: RNAcentral